Molecule: long non-coding RNA, 2644 nt
Organism: Lactuca sativa (garden lettuce)
Lineage: Eukaryota; Viridiplantae; Streptophyta; Magnoliopsida; Asterales; Asteraceae
Source: RefSeq, a predicted model, not a curated record
UAUAUAUAUAUAUAUUAAAAUUCUCCUGGCUUAUCUACAGUAAACUUAGGUUUUUUUUGGUAGAUUUCGUCAUUCAUUUGUGUUGGGCAGUUUAUGUCAUUUUCUCCAUUCUUUGUACAUACGUGUUCUCAUUCUCAAUCCACCGCUUCAGCUGUCCAAUGGUUUUGCUCCAGCGAGGUCACUGCUUCUCCUUUGCUUAAGUUAGUCCACCGCCUCAACUACCACCGCUUCUUCCACUAAGACGAACCUUGAACCCACAAAAAUCCAAUAUCGUCAGAACCUCUUAAAAUCUCACCGAUGCUCCCUCUUCUUCUUCCACCCCAUUGCCUUGCUCUCUCGCCAAAGAUCGUCUGAUCGAGUAGCAACGAAAGAUGCUACUGCAGAGCUGGUGACGUCGACGACAAACCUUCUCCUUUUCUACAUGGAUUGAAGCUUCCAUCUUCGAUUGGAGAACAUUCGGCGCCUUCGUUUCUGUUUCAGCUUAGAAAAUCGAUUCCCCUCCUCCUCCGUCGUUUUCCUAUUCCAGGUUUGGUGAGGAAAAUCCCUAGCUUGGUUAAUCUCCCGGUUCGCCAUCUACCUUCCAUCCUUUUUUUCUGUUUCCGUGUACUGCCAUCUGUUGGGAAUGGAAGAUAGAAGCAUAUGUAUAUGCCUUUGACUCAACCGCCAUCUGUCAAACGGAUUUACAGACCCAAUUCUUAUCCAGGUAUUAAUAGCCCUAGAAAAGAUGUAUAUGCCUGAAUUAGCCUACUGAUUUAGAGACCAAUUCUUAUCCUCACUUUACAGUUCCAUGUUUAGUUUAGCCAUAUAAGGGAUAUGCUUUUCAACCCAUGUCUUUUAAUUAUGUAUGAUUCACAAAGUGCAUAUAUUGUCAUUAAAGAACUUAUUGUGAUUUUGGUGUGGAUGCGAGGUGGUAAUGGAGGCGGGUGAAUGAUGGCUUGAUUGGAGAAAUAAGGGAGGUGGUUGACGGUUGUUUUAAGUGGGAAUGAUGGAGAAGUGCUGGUCAGGAGUGGGGGUGAUGAUGGAUUAACGUGUUGUUUUCGUUGAAGGAUGUUCAUCGGGGUUAUUUUAACUUUACCUUGGUAAUUCAUGAAGCUAUUCCGAUUCCCAGUUUUGUGAUGCAGACAACAGUUGAAGGAAGCAUGAUGUUGGGCAUCAUGGAGCGGAAUGGCGUCAACACCACUUUCAUCCUCAACCGUCAGAUGUGUGACAAAAAAGCCCUUUUGUUCAUUGUAGUUACACACCAGAAUGUCAUUGCUCUUGCACAAGAAUGCCAUUCACACUUGGAAAUAUGUGACAUUUACUAAGUUUUUUUUGUAAUUUGAUAAUAUGCAAAAGGGUACUAUUGAUUUCACCUUCAAAUCAAGAAGCAAUUAUGCUGUUUUUUGUGACUACCAUUUAUAUAAAAUAAUAUAUUAAUCAGACCAUAAUUACCAUAAUACCCUUUUGCAUAUUAUCAAAUUACAAAAAAAAACUGUAUAGUUCCAAGCAUGUCCAUAGGCAUGUUACUGUUAUCAUGUUAUCAGAUUCAGAAUCACUACCCUGUUAAAAAAAUCUCAAGAAAACCAAAUUAAGGAAAUUCAGAAAACAAACAAUUUUUUUUUCACAGACUAAUUUAUUUAUUAAUAUUACCUCAGGGUUUCCAUGGCAGACAAGUACAAUCCGAUUACUAGCUUUCCUUCCUGCAGAGCUUCCAGAAGCAAUAGGGGAGCUUGGAGUUUGAUUUAAUCUGUUAAGACAUAAAUAUGGAGAUCCACCUUCAGGUUGUGGGACAAAAUCUAGCACACUUACACCACAGUUGCUUUGAAGUAAAAUUCUGAAGUACUCUGUUCCUAAACCUGAACAAAUUUUUUUACCACCAUGAACAAGUGACUAUGAUUUAGCAUUUUCAGCCAUUAGCUUGGAAAGGAAGAACUUCAAUUUUGAAGCUUUUUGCGGUUUUCUUUCUUCAGAUCGACCUUUCAUUUUUUUUCCCUUUCUCUUCUUAUCAUUUGUUCUUUACCAAGUUAUUCUUAAGCGCAUCCGACACCUAUAUAUUAUUGUUUCUGUAUCAUAGCAGGUUAAAGACCACCUUACUUGACAAUCGUUGACUUUGCUAACUGGAAGUGCUUUGAAACGACAAUCAGGUAAGAAGCUUUUUUAUUUUGUAUGUAUCUUUCUUAAAUAGAAUUGCUUGGCUCUGUAUCUCCAUUUUCUCUUUACCUUUCCGUGACUCAUUUGUUUUGUUUGUGCUAAUUUUAAUAAGUUUUUUGAUAUAAAGAUUAAAGAGUUUUUUUUAGCUUCAAACUGGAAUUAAACAAAAACAUAUGAGUUUUUCUACAGAUUUUCAGAUUGCCACUGUUUGUGGAGAUGGUAGUGACAUUGAAAGAAGACUGCUUCUUUUUCCAUAACAGUUAGGCCUAGGUGAUGUAUUGUUGCAAAAUGGUACUUCAAAUUGUUCGAUGAAAUGUCGGAAUUAAGACCUACGUAUUUUUCAAUCAAUGUGUGCUUAUUGUAGUGAAGCCAUAUGGUAUGAGAGAACUUCUGUUUAAUGUUUAAAUACAAAUGCAAAGAGGCAAACAUUACUUACUUAAAAUAACAACAUUUUAUGGUUUUUUCGUAUCAUGUUGAUUCCUACAUUUAAUAAAAAUAAUGUUUUUCCGCCGCA